CUUGACGGAGCCGAGCCACAGGGGGUCGCCGGCCCGUUCCUGGCCGUAGGUGGCGAGGAGGGCCUGUGCCUC
RNAcentral lists this antisense RNA (72 nucleotides) under Streptomyces longwoodensis. RNAcentral's name for it is "ASpks TB sRNA". It matches the Rfam family "ASpks TB sRNA". Lineage: Bacteria; Bacillati; Actinomycetota; Actinomycetes; Kitasatosporales; Streptomycetaceae. The record is from Rfam by way of RNAcentral.